GAUGCCCAUCCCUAAACAGGAGCCAGCAUAUAUACUCCGCCCGUUGCUGGUGGUUGCCAUGGUAACGUUAGUAGCUCAGUCUCAGAGAACGAGACGUCACAAACUAACAAGGUGGCAAAACAUUGGCGUCAGUGUCGGUGUUGUCAAAGAUCUCCGUUUGCGGCCGUUGAUACUGCAACACAACCCCGGAGAUUUCAAAGUCAAGCAUGGCCAAAA
Long non-coding RNA from Etheostoma spectabile (orangethroat darter), 216 nucleotides. RefSeq lists it as uncharacterized. The transcript has 3 exons. The record is from RefSeq and is a predicted model, not a curated record. Lineage: Eukaryota; Metazoa; Chordata; Actinopteri; Perciformes; Percidae.